RNAcentral lists this ribosomal RNA (1125 nucleotides) under Triticum aestivum (bread wheat). RNAcentral's name for it is "partial small subunit ribosomal RNA". The record is from RNAcentral. Lineage: Eukaryota; Viridiplantae; Streptophyta; Magnoliopsida; Poales; Poaceae.
AUGGUGGAGGCCGCCCCGCCUCCCCUCCACCGCGGCCUCCCGGACGACUUCGCCAUCUGGGAGAUCCUUGUCCGCCUGCCCCCCAAAUCCUUCCUCCGCUGCCGCGCCGUCUGCCGCGCCUGGCGCAGCGCCACCACCGCCCGUGACUUUCUCCUCGCCCACCACGCCCGCCAGCCCGCGCUCCCCCUCAUCUAUGGCCUCGGACGCGACAUCGAGUCCCUAGACAUUAUCCCCUUCGACCACCGGGUAGGGGUCGCCACCGCCGACGACCGGCUCCUGUCCGUCGCGCGAAUUGGUGGCCCUUACGUCCGCCCGUGCAUCUCGUGUGAUGGCUUACAAGUCCUCUACAUCGGCGUGGAUCAAUUAAGCAUCGUCAACCCGGCAACUCGUCAAUGCGCUCGCCUCCGAGGUUUUACUGUAACCGACACUCACCGACCCGUGGGGAUGUACCCGCACAGCCUAAGCGGCGAAUACCGGAUACUGCUCGCACCCCAUGAUCCAGAUGACUCUUACCAGCUCUACACACUAGGCUCCAGCCAGCCGCCAAGGCAAAUAGACAUAGAUGGCCCUGUUGUGGAGGAACUGUCACCCUUCACGCUUCUCUUGUUCCAUCAUACCCUGCAAUGGUGCGCAGACAACGUGAUAACUGUAUUCGACACCAUUGCUGAGUCGUUCGGGGAGAUGCUCGCUCCGCACGGCACCGACCAGUUUGUGAUGGAUGAAAUUUAUGGUGGUGUCCUGUUUGAGGUGGAUGCAAUGCUCGGCAUGUUCAGUCUUAAUGCUGAAUUUACCAGCAUUGGUAUCUGGGCUAUGCACAACUACGAAAGCAGGGUCUGGGCAUUCAAAUACCGGGUCGAAUUGCCACUUGCGGAGCUCACCGUGCAGUUUGGAGAUUUUAAACCAUAUUGUUGCAGGGUGCCCUCUUCUUGGGAUGGUGAUGUGAGCAUGCUGCUCCAGUUUGGUGACUGGCUACUUCAGCUUGACAUGGAUGGCAAGGUGGUUGCUAGUUUACGCCGUCACAAAGGCCUCUUGCCAACUCAACAUCGGCUCAAGCAAACUCUUGUUCAGCAUUCCUUCUUUACGGCACUAGAGGGUUAUGUUGUCAAUGCUUCACCUUUCAUGUAA